Long non-coding RNA from Ictalurus punctatus (channel catfish), 1515 nucleotides. RefSeq lists it as uncharacterized. Lineage: Eukaryota; Metazoa; Chordata; Actinopteri; Siluriformes; Ictaluridae. The transcript has 3 exons. The record is from RefSeq and is a predicted model, not a curated record.
UUUUGACUGCACUAAUAGUUCGUAAACACCACACAGGAAGUAGGAAAAGAACUACAUUUCCCAUCUGCCCUGGCUGUCACAGGCUAAUAGCACCAGCUGCUUUCCAUUGCCCUAAUGAAUGAUUCUACUGCUGCAACGAGACCAAAUACAACGAAAGUAUUGAUGCUGCAAAAGAAGACGGAUCUUUUGGUAGGCUGGUUAAUGAUGACCACAAGCACCCAAAUGGCAGAAUGCAGAAGACUGAAGUGGAUGGAAGCCCACAUCUUGGUCUGUUUGCUUUAACAGACUUUAAAGAAGGUGAUGAAUUACCUGCAAUUACGGAGGAGGAGACUGGCCUUGGUGUAGCAAGGUAAAACAUCUACUCUGAAAAAGAGGAAGGCUCGGGAAGGAAAUGAGGUCCAUGCAGUGGAGAGACAUAUGAAGACCUUCAUCAUGUCAUGUCGUGUCCCAGGGAAGUUGGUCUGUGAAAACUGCAUUAGAUCUGAGUCUUUAUAUCUUAAAGAUAGAGACUGGCAAAGUGUCAAAUUCUAUGUCUAUAACUGCACUGUAGCUUACAAGAGAGAUAUAAACAAAGAUUAAUUACCACUUUGAUAGUAACACUGUACAUCUAUAUUACAGAUACUGUACAUCAUAACAUCUGUAGUAAUGCUUUAAUAAUAAGUUACAUUACACCUCUAGCCUUUUACUUUGUAAUGAACCGCUCAGCAUUUACUUCAUCAUAAACUAAUCAGGAACAAAUCAGGCAUUUAAAAUAUCCAUUAGAAUCUUUACCUACACAGUUAUAUUGAAUUAGAUCAAAUUGGUUUGGGCCGCCUUCUUCCAGUGGGUCCUUAUGCAGGUGACUGACAAGUUCAUGAGUAAGCCUAUUGGGCAAUAAAAGCUUCAGUGUGCUACCCAUUUACAUGUUUAGACUGCCUGGAAUCAAAAUUAGCUACCUCAACAUAUAUUAUUAAGUUGUUACUGUCACUUUUUAACUUUUUAGCUUAGUCAGUUAAGUGGAUAUAGAAUAAAGAAAAAAAUUGUGUUUAUGACAUUUGGUUGUGUGUCUGUGUUUGGCUAGUAUCUUUAUUUUUCUCAAUAUGUUUAACUUUGAGCUGGCUAUAUGUAGUAAGCAGAAGUGUUAUGUCAAACUUAAAUGAGUCCAAGUUCAUUCAUGGCACAUGUGAGCUUAGUGGUUCUGCACUUUAAUGGGCAAAUAUUUGUUGUCUUUUACAGUAAAGAAGCUCAAGACUCAAGUUGUCUUUAUAAUGUUGAAUAGACAGGGUUUUUUCAUCUGACUGACAAUUUUUCACUUGAUUAGAGAUCCAGACCAAUAAACAAAUCCUUCAUGCAGCUAAAAUAUCAAAAGGAUGAGUUUCUUUGUCAUUUUGACUUGCCAAAAUGACUGGGGAUAGUGUUAAUUUGUGAUGCAUGCCUGUGAUAAAUAAGUGAGGUUCAGUACAGCUAGCACCUCUACUUUCUAUUCCACAAAAAAAAAGUAUACUUUGGAGCAGGAAAUGAAAAGCUUCUUAGAAU